CGCGUAUACAAUCUACCUUUUACAGGAGGAUAGCCUUUAGAAAUGAAGAUUAAUACUCCAUAGUAUAUAUUAAUGGCAUCAUUAUUAUAUUAAAGUUUCGGCGGUAAAAGAUGAGUAUGCGUUCUACUAGCUAGAUGGUGUGGUAACGGCAUACCAUGGCAACGAUAGAUAGGGGCCCUGAGAGGGGGAUCCCCCACACUGGUACUGAGACACGGACCAGACUCCUACGGGAGGCAGCAGUGAGGAAUAUUGGACAAUGGAGGCAACUCUGAUCCAGCCAUGCCGCGUGCAGGAAGACUG
Molecule: ribosomal RNA, 300 nt
Filed under: uncultured Psychroserpens sp.
Lineage: Bacteria; Pseudomonadati; Bacteroidota; Flavobacteriia; Flavobacteriales; Flavobacteriaceae
Description: bacterial SSU rRNA
Rfam family: Bacterial small subunit ribosomal RNA
Source: RNAcentral